AUUCCUUGAAGCCCGUGAGACACGAACGCUUCCAUUGAGAAAAACCUUCCAUCAGAAGAAGACUUCUCGUCUCAGUGGGACUGCUGAGUUGAAUGGUGCUUUUUUUUCUGAAGCUUUGGUAGUGUAACUGUAAGAGUCCUGGAAUUGGAAAAGCAAAUCCAGAAGUUGAGUUCCAUGACUUUUUUGCUGUUUGCCUUUGGACUUGCAUCAUUUAUAUUUUUAAUUCAUCGAGGAUGAGAAAAUUGAUUAACACAAAAUCUUUUCAUGUCUUUUCUGAUGAGAGACUAGCUGAAUCCAAGAAGAGAAGCCCUUGAAGAGUGUAUUCUAUUCUAGACAAGCAUUCACACAUUGGCUUCUUUGGUGCCAGAUCCUGGUCACAGAUUUUGGUGUGGAUGUGGUAAAAAGGGAGCACUUUUACACUGCUGGUGGGAAGGUAAAUUAGUACAACCACAAUGGAAAACUGUAUAGAGAUUCUUUAAAGAACUAGAAGUAGAACCACCAUUUGACCCAGCAAUCCCACUACUGAGUAUAUACCCAGAGGAAAACAAGUUAUUAUAUGAGAAAGAUAAGCACAUGCAUGUUUAUAACAGCACAAGUUGCAAUUGCAAAAAUAUGGAACCAGCCUAAUUGCCCCUCGGUGAACAAGUGGAUAAAGAAAAUGUGGUAUAUCUGCACAAUGGAAUACUACUCAACCAAAAAAGAAAAAAAAAA
Molecule: long non-coding RNA, 711 nt
Filed under: Homo sapiens (human)
Lineage: Eukaryota; Metazoa; Chordata; Mammalia; Primates; Hominidae
Description: HSALNT0378418
Source: RNAcentral